Molecule: long non-coding RNA, 428 nt
Organism: Vombatus ursinus (common wombat)
Lineage: Eukaryota; Metazoa; Chordata; Mammalia; Diprotodontia; Vombatidae
Exons: 3
Source: RefSeq, a predicted model, not a curated record
GAAUUUGAAAAGGUUUGGAAGAUUCUGGACUUGCUAUCUGCGGCAUCCUAGCAGCAACCACAGAACAGCUGAUGUCAGUAUCUGCAUCAAGGGCCAAAGACACGCUAGAUGCACUGAGGGAAAGCUGCUUGAGGGACAGAAGAAGUCCACCACAUUAUCAGGGGAACCUCCUGAAAACCCCAGGAAGAGGACUUCUAGGACUUGUGAUACCAUCCCAGCAUCUCCCUUGGACUCAUCCCAUUCAUUCACUUGGCAUGUGAUAGUGAAUAGGCCACUGGCCUUGGAGUCAGAAGACUUGGAUCAAGUCCCAGAUGAAUGAAUAUGUUGCUUCCUGGUUGUGGGACUUUUGGCCAGCUCCAGCACCACCUCCUUCAUGAAGACUUCACUGAUCUCCUCAAUUGAAAGUGAUCUCUUCCUGUUCUCCCUGG